AUAACUAUACUCUCUUCUCCUCAUCUUUAUAGGCCUUUGCGCACUUAUUACAAGCUCCAAAUGAUGAUGCCCAACUGAUAAUUCGUGAUCGGUUUCCUGUGCCAAGACUGGUGGUGUGUGAUCAGCAUGGUUCCCAGGCAAGAUUCUUGCUGGCAAAGUUGAACCCAUCAGCGACAUACAGUAAUGUACACGAGAUGGCUGCUGGUUCAGAUGUGAUCUUCACUGAUGAUGUGAGUCUACAAGUUUUCAUUGACCAUCUACAGCGUUUGGCAGUCCAAGCUUCUUGAAGACACUGGAUCGAGUUUGGAUUUUCCAAUGCUUGAAAUCAUCGCAAAUGAGUUUUUAUCUCCUCGGCUACCUCUCGUUACAAAAUUAUUCCAAUUUUGUACCUUCUUUUCGGACCCUGAAACAAUAAGGAAAAUUUGGGGAAGUGAACUGGUGCUUGCUUUAUUUGAGAAAUAAGGGGUUCAAGGAUGGUUGUCAUAUGACAUGGAAAGAAAAGGGCCAAUGUAUAACUUAAAAAAGGUUUUUAUUUUUGUCGGACAUUGUUAGUUCUUUGUUACCUUAAUUAUUGUUUGUCAAUACUCGGAUUGCAAGAGACCAUUUCAUGUUGAAUUUAAGAAUGUGGUUAUGGGCUGGGAUUGUAAUUGGUAAAAUUUAUUUUUGCAUGGAUUUAAUUUAGGCUGAAUACCGCUUUACAUCUCUA
Molecule: long non-coding RNA, 706 nt
Organism: Olea europaea var. sylvestris
Lineage: Eukaryota; Viridiplantae; Streptophyta; Magnoliopsida; Lamiales; Oleaceae
Exons: 2
Source: RefSeq, a predicted model, not a curated record